AGCCAUGUAGAAGAUCGUCCAUAUAGA
RNAcentral lists this small RNA (27 nucleotides) under Bombyx mori (domestic silkworm). RNAcentral's name for it is "ovarian small RNA-12073". Lineage: Eukaryota; Metazoa; Arthropoda; Insecta; Lepidoptera; Bombycidae. The record is from RNAcentral.